CGGAUUGAAGGCUGAAAUUCGCCUUCCAUGAAGCCGGAAUUGCUAGUAAUGGCAGGUCAGCAUACUGCCGUGAAUACGUUCCCGGGCCUUGUACACACCGCCCGUCACACCAUGAGAGUUGAAAAUACCCGAAGCCUGUGAGCUAACUUAAAGAGGCAGCAGUCGAAGGUAGAGCCAAUGAUUGGGGUGAAGUCGUAACAAGGUAAC
Molecule: ribosomal RNA, 207 nt
Filed under: uncultured bacterium
Lineage: Bacteria
Description: partial 16S ribosomal RNA
Rfam family: Bacterial small subunit ribosomal RNA
Source: RNAcentral